GAUAAGUCUUUGUAAAGCACAGAGACAAUAAGUUAAUCAUUUUAAGUUGUUUUCACAAAACAAAACCUAAGCUCUUCUUGAAUACGUAAAGAUCUUUUUCUCUUUGAAGUAUAUGGCCUCCUCACAUCUUUGUCAAGGCACAAACUAACCAUCAAAUGUCCUUAUUAUUUUUCUUUCUUUUUAACUAUCCACAUUAACUAUGCAAUUCUGAUCCAUAUAUUCCAUGCUAUAUGUCUUCAAAUCUCAACCUUACACCAUUAUCAAGUAUAUUCAUACCAAUUAGUCAUUCAUGUAUUAUAAACACUUGAU
RNAcentral lists this long non-coding RNA (309 nucleotides) under Carica papaya (papaya). RNAcentral describes it as "long non-coding RNA (CPAP_LNC012796)". The record is from RNAcentral. Lineage: Eukaryota; Viridiplantae; Streptophyta; Magnoliopsida; Brassicales; Caricaceae.